GACGAACGCUGGCGGCGUGCUUAACACAUGCAAGUCGAACGGAAAGGCCCUGCUUUUGUGGGGUGCUCGAGUGGCGAACGGGUGAGUAACACGUGAGUAACCUGCCCUUGACUUUGGGAUAACUUCAGGAAACUGGGGCUAAUACCGGAUAGGAGCUCCUGCUGCAUGGUGGGGGUUGGAAAGUUUCGGCGGUUGGGGAUGGACUCGCGGCUUAUCAGCUUGUUGGUGGGGUAGUGGCUUACCAAGGCUUUGACGGGUAGCCGGCCUGAAAGGGUGACCGGCCACAUUGGGACUGAGAUACGGCCCAGACUCCUACGGGAGGCAGCAGUGGGGAAUAUUGCACAAUGGGCGGAAGCCUGAUGCAGCAACGCCGCGUGCGGGAUGACGGCCUUCGGGCUGUAAACCGCUUUCGCCUGUGACGAAGCGUGAGUGACGGUAAUGGGUAAAGAAGCACCGGCUAACUACGUG
RNAcentral lists this ribosomal RNA (468 nucleotides) under uncultured bacterium. RNAcentral describes it as "partial 16S ribosomal RNA". It matches the Rfam family "Bacterial small subunit ribosomal RNA", at positions 28 to 507 of the family's 1533-position model. The record is from RNAcentral.